This 273-nucleotide small RNA is filed under the name Histoplasma ohiense. RNAcentral's name for it is "hypothetical lncRNA". The record is from RNAcentral. Lineage: Eukaryota; Fungi; Ascomycota; Eurotiomycetes; Onygenales; Ajellomycetaceae.
GCACAGGGAUGUUGAUUUGUUUGACUGACGACAACUCCUCCAAAUAAGCUAAUCCCAAGAGCUCGGGGUUAAUAUGGAGAAAUCGGAUAUAUUAGCAACAAUAUUACUCUACUGCAGAAGCGGCAGGAUCGACCGCUCGUUGCUCACGGUGUUCAGAGGAGUGUCAACCUUUACGCCGUGUUACAAAGCUCGGAUUUGAACUGAAAUGCUACCCAAAGGGAACAAACAGGCUGCUGAGAUUUACAAAAAUAGAAGCAAGCUUCGGAACGGGAA